UUUUUCGUUCAUUGGAAAAUCUAAGAAAAAUGGAGAAUUGAUUGUUCAAAAGUAAUGAAAAUACAAAAACAAAUGAAUGGACAUUCAUCGGCCUACCAUAUGAAUCCAACGUGUGUGCCCCCACCCCACACUUCGUGACGUCACUGCAAUGUCGACUUUCACGUCUCCCCCCUUACAACCUUUCGAUCAAUACUCCAAACAUCUGCUUCAGCAUUAAAAAGUCAUCUUCGACUUAGUAGCAAGAAAGCGACACACGCCACUAUUUCACGAUGAGCACGCCAAGCCGGCUUUAGACACCCCCUACCUCUUCCAAAUUUCGUCUGCUUUAUAUCCAUAAGAGAACAAAGUUUAUAUAUAAAAUAGCACCUGCCUGGUUCUUGAUGCACUUCUAAGCGAUGAGUUCGGUCAGUUGUUGUUCUUGAUUGACGUGCCUGGUCUCUUAAGCUGAACAGAACCAUUUUUAAGUCCAAAUGUGAGGCAACCUGCGAGCAAACUAAGUCAAAUGAAGGUCGCCAAUAAACCCGGUAGGUUUACCAGCCAGAAACACGCCAAAUCUUGGACUUGCGCCAUGCAGACUUUCACUACCCUUACCAGAGCACGUAUACCCCCUCCAACAUUGAAACAUUUCUCAAAUAAAAUAAACUUACCCGCGUAGCGACUGAGUGUGAAAUCAAUCGAUUUCUUCUCAAAUUACAAUAUGAAUAUCGUUCUUCAAAACAACACGAUGGAGUGUACAUUGACGAUAACAACAAAAUGCAUCAAUAAUCCUACCAAUGUCAAGUUUUCUAUGGUGGGUAGGAGUCCAGAUUAAAUUACCUUAUAACCAAAAAAAAAAAAAGAAUA
Long non-coding RNA from Daphnia pulex (common water flea), 843 nucleotides. RefSeq lists it as uncharacterized. The record is from RefSeq and is a predicted model, not a curated record. The transcript is spliced from 2 exons. Lineage: Eukaryota; Metazoa; Arthropoda; Branchiopoda; Diplostraca; Daphniidae.